This 358-nucleotide ribosomal RNA is filed under the name uncultured bacterium. Its description in RNAcentral is "partial 16S ribosomal RNA". It matches the Rfam family "Bacterial small subunit ribosomal RNA", at positions 338 to 694 of the family's 1533-position model. The record is from RNAcentral.
CCUACGGGUGGCAGCAGUGAGGAAUAUUGGUCAAUGGGCGGAAGCCUGAACCAGCCAAGUAGCGUGCGGGAUGAAGGCCCUACGGGUCGUAAACCGCUUUUGCACGGGGAUAACACCCUCCACUUGUGGCGGUCUGCAGGUACCGUGCGAAUAAGGGCCGGCAAAUUCCGUGCCAGCAGCCGCGGUAAUACGGAAGGCCCGAUCGUUAUCCGGAUUCAUGGGGCUUAAAGGGAGCGUAGGCGGGCGUUCAAGUCAGCGGUAAAAUCGCGCGGCUAAACCGGGCCCCGCAGUUGAAACUGGAAGCCUUGAGUUCACAACAGGCAGGCGGAAUUCGGGGUGUAGCGGUGAAAUGCAUAGA